UUCGGAUGGCCUUGCGGUGCAUUAACUAGUUGGCGAGGUAACGGCUCACCAAGGUGAUGAUGCAUAGCCCGACCCCUGAGAGGGUAAUCGGCCACAUUGGGACUGAGACACGGCCCAAACUCCUACGGGAGGCAGCAGUAGGGAAUCUUCCGCAAUGGACGCAAGUCUGACGGAGCAACGCCGCGUGAGUGAAGAAGGUUUUCGGAUCGUAAAACUCUGUUGUAAGAGAAGAACAAAUUGUAGAGUAACUGCUACAGUCUUGACGGUAUCUUACCAGAAAGCCACGGCUAACUACGUGCCAGCAGCCGCGGUAAU
This 315-nucleotide ribosomal RNA is filed under the name uncultured Aerococcus sp. RNAcentral's name for it is "bacterial SSU rRNA". It matches the Rfam family "Bacterial small subunit ribosomal RNA", at positions 220 to 524 of the family's 1533-position model. The record is from RNAcentral. Lineage: Bacteria; Bacillati; Bacillota; Bacilli; Lactobacillales; Aerococcaceae.